AGUGAACGCUGGCGGUAGGCCUAACACAUGCAAGUCGAACGGCAGCACAGUAAGAGCUUGCUCUUACGGGUGGCGAGUGGCGGACGGGUGAGGAAUACAUCGGAAUCUACUUUUUCGUGGGGGAUAACGUAGGGAAACUUACGCUAAUACCGCAUACGACCUACGGGUGAAAGCAGGGGAUCUUCGGACCUUGCGCGAUUGAAUGAGCCGAUGUCGGAUUAGCUAGUUGGCGGGGUAAAGGCCCACCAAGGCGACGAUCCGUAGCUGGUCUGAGGGGAUGAUCAGCCACACUGGAACUGAGACACUGUCCAGACUCCUACGGGAGGCAGCAGUGGGGAAUAUUGGACAAUGGGCGCAAGCCUGAUCCAGCCAUACCGCGUGGGUGAAGAAGGCCUUCGGGUUGUAAAGCCCUUUUGUUGGGAAAGAAAAGCAGCAGGUUAAUACCCCGCUGUUCUGACGGUACCCAAAGAAUAAGCACCGGCUAACUUCGUG
RNAcentral lists this ribosomal RNA (492 nucleotides) under uncultured bacterium. RNAcentral's name for it is "partial 16S ribosomal RNA". It matches the Rfam family "Bacterial small subunit ribosomal RNA", at positions 29 to 507 of the family's 1533-position model. The record is from RNAcentral.